UCUGCUCAGUUAGAGAUAUUAUUUUCUUUAUUUUUUCUUUUAUCCUUGAGGUUGGCUCACAUGUGUGUCCACUAUCCUUGAACUAUGAUUUACCCCUGUCUAUGUUAUGUUUACCUAUGCAUUCAUAAGUAAUCAUGUUUUUACCAAAGCUAGAUGCAUUCGUCCUGCCUUCCUACGGGAAUUAUAAAUAAGGAUACGCACUCAUGGGUUAAAAUGCUACAAUGAUAGUUUCGUGCGCUUGUGGAUUUAUCCUUAUUGAACUAUCGAUUGGUGUACCUAAGUACCGUACUUAAGAUUGUAAUCCUCGUGUACGACCCAACGGCGCCGUGCCACAGUAUUGCAUAUCGCAAGUAAGGAUGGUUAGGAAGGCCGAUCUGGUAGUUCUAAUCAUCAGUACCAGACUGCAUUACUUAGGUCGGAGUCGUACGGGCCGAGAGUUACCUUUCUAACUUAAUGGUGGUUAGGAAUGUCAAUCCCAACAUUUCUAGUGCCGUUGCUAAGGAUGGAUUUAUAGUCUAUCUUUAGUAGUGACGCUAAGAAAUGUCAACAGACUCCGAGCCUAUCUACAUAGGACAAGGUAGAUAAACACGUGGUGAUAUCAAGGAGUAAAUGUGCAUCAACUCCUAUCACUUAAAUGUAGCAUAGUAAAAUAAUUAUGAUAUAACAAAUUAAGUUAGCGAGAAUAGAGAGACUUAGAAUGCUCUAGGCUUGCCUCUCUCGAAGGUGCUAGGCCUGUGGUCCGGGCACUCCUGUAGAUCUCCUUCCGGCUCUGGUCCUUCCGAAAGCUCCUGCUCCUCGGGUCCCACCUCGUUCUUCUGCGAGCCUGUAUGAUGCAUAUGUGCUCAUGAGUGGAGUGCAAGAUGCCCGAGGUGCAAUGCUUAUGCAGGUUAAUACAAGAUGAUCAUGACAUGAUGCAU
This 917-nucleotide long non-coding RNA is filed under the name Sorghum bicolor (sorghum). RNAcentral's name for it is "long non-coding RNA (SBIC_LNC012902)". Lineage: Eukaryota; Viridiplantae; Streptophyta; Magnoliopsida; Poales; Poaceae. The record is from RNAcentral.